UAGAAAAUAAAAAGUAUGUAGGUUUCAUCCACACAUGCAAAUGCUUACUUGAAGAUUAAAAAAUGGUUUAUUCCUAAGAGUGCGUGUCUAAUAUGCAAGGUAAGUAAGAAGUAGCUAGAAAGAGUGACUCCUAGAGCGCAAUCGACAAAUAAAUCACCAUAAAAUGAAAGAAUGUGGUGGAGGAUCAGGGGCCAUCAAAACCAUAUCACAAUAUAAUAUCUCUCAAUCAUUUUCCCAAACUUUUCAAAUAACUUUUAUACUAUUUUCAAAUCUACCUUUCCAAUAAUCCUACCAAGUACCCCGCACGAAACUUCCUCUUUCUAUCCAAACGACAAAUUGUCCAAAUGGAUAAUUCCAGAAUCAUCCUUUUCAUUUUUUUGAACUUCCUUCCUGCCUC
Molecule: long non-coding RNA, 397 nt
Filed under: Vigna radiata
Lineage: Eukaryota; Viridiplantae; Streptophyta; Magnoliopsida; Fabales; Fabaceae
Description: long non-coding RNA (VRAD_LNC010713)
Source: RNAcentral